Long non-coding RNA from Vespa velutina, 1220 nucleotides. RefSeq lists it as uncharacterized. The record is from RefSeq and is a predicted model, not a curated record. NCBI's taxonomy places the organism in Eukaryota, Metazoa, Arthropoda, Insecta, Hymenoptera, Vespidae. The transcript is spliced from 3 exons.
UGUAACGCUAUCGACCCUGUCGCUGUACAUCACGUCGACACCAUCCUAGUCGGCUCAUUUCAGAGCCCCGAGUGUAGUAGGAGUUGGCUUCUGCGCCAUUACUUCGCUUGCUCGGGCCAACACGUGCACACGCGCGCCUGCACGCACGCCUUACGAAAGAAGAAAGAGACAGAGAGAGAGAGAGAGAGAAAGAGAGAGAAAGAAAGAGAGAGAGAGAGAGAACAGACACGCACGGUUCCUCGUACACGUACUUACGCCCUCUGCCAAGGUACACGCGAGCAACGAAGGUCCGAUGAAAAGUCUACGAGAAUAAUCCCAGAGAGCAAGAGGAAACAACGAGGUAAAAACAAAAAGAAAAAACAAAAAAAGAAAAAGAAAAGAAAAAAACCAAAGAAAAGAAGAGGAAGAAAGUUAGAGGAAAGAACAAAAAAAAAAGGAAGAGAGAAAAAAAAAUAGAGAAAGAAAAAAAGAAUGAGACAUUCCAAUGAAUUAGAAACUCUCUUCUCUCGUCUCUGCGCACAGAUCUCUGCGCGUUCCUUCCCCAAUUGAAAUUGAAUCCGUUUGUCCUCACCUGUACGCGUGCCUCCGAGAGGGAGGUCUUCGAAGCCAACCGUUCGCGCGUCGAUACGCAAGGGUAGUGCGACCUCUCGAACUCCUUCUCGAGUUCCUCGAGCUGCUCCGGACUGAAGGUGGUGCGAUUUCGCCGGAACUUUGGCUGCUCGGAACCGUCCAAACUUCCGUCGUCACCGUCACCAUCUGAACGUGACAACAGAGAGAACAACGAUUGUAUUCGCCGCGAUGGCGUCGGCAGCGUGCAAUGCGUGAUCGGCAGUGCCAGCAGCGGAAGCCGAUGCGGCAGCGGCCGCUGCUGCGGCAGCACCAGGACUCAACGAUGGUGGUAAAAGCAAUGCCGAAGCCGCCCCUGAGAUACCAGUUGCCAAGGGUGGCAGCAUCCAGGGGUGUCCAGCAGCUCCUGGAGCAGGCCAUCCACUUGGAAGAUGAUGACUCGUCGUUGGAUGCUGAUGAGCGGCCGCGGCUGCUGCAGCUGCCGAAUUGAAAUACGGGUGCGGCCCGGCCGCAUACAAUCCGUAACCCGCUGCCCUCGCAAAUUCCGCGGCGGCCCUUUCCGCAGCUCUGUUUCUUAAUAUCCGAUUGAUACUGCUCACCGACGGUGCCGUCGCGUUACUGCACACACCUAAACAACAAAUAAAAUAAAAAAA